GAGACCACAGAGCAGUGCAGGAGCAGCAGCAGCAGCAGCAGCAGCAGCCGCCUUCGCCGCGUCCGGAGGACUUUUUAUUCCCCAACAUGAAGCGCUCCUGAGACACAGCAGAGAGGAAAAGAGAGGCAGCAGAAGACCAGUGCAAUAACCCUGGAGGAGGAAGAAGGGAGGAGGAGGAGGAGGUGGCAUUUUUUUAACAGACAAACAAAAAACCAUAUAUACAUAUAUGUAUAUAUGAGGUCCUACUUUUUUUCCCUCCCCCUUCCUCUUUUUUCUUCUUAGUAUAUUUUUUUACUCUCUCUUUUUGCUACAAACAACAACAGCAGCAACAAAGUAAAUAAUAUAAACCCACAAGGCAAGAUUUGCCACCAUGGUGCUGGGGAAGGUGAAGAGUCUGACCCUCAGCUUCGACUGUCUGAAUGACAGCAACGUGCCCGUCUACUCCAGCGGGGACACAGUCUCAGGGAGGGUGAGCCUGGAGGUGACCGGGGAGAUCCGCGUGAAAUCCCUCAAGAUCCACGCCAGGGGCCACGCCAAAGUCCGCUGGACCGAGUCGAGGAACGCGGGCUCCAACACUGCCUACACGCAGAACUACACCGAGGAGGUCGAGUACUUCAACCACAAGGACCUCUUGAUCGGCCACGAAAGAGAUGACGAUAAUUCUGAAGAAGGCCUCCACAUCAUUCAUUCAGGACGGCAUGAAUAUGCAUUCAGCUUUGAGCUUCCACAGACACCACUUGCUACCUCAUUUGAAGGCAGACAUGGCAGUGUGCGCUAUUGGGUGAAAGCAGAAUUGCACAGGCCUUGGCUUCUACCAGUAAAAUUAAAGAAGGAAUUUACAGUCUUUGAACAUAUAGAUAUCAACACUCCUUCAUUACUGUCACCCCAAGCAGGCACAAAAGAAAAGACUCUGUGUUGCUGGUUUUGUACCUCAGGCCCAAUAUCCUUAAGUGCCAAAAUUGAAAGGAAGGGCUACACCCCAGGUGAAUCGAUUCAGAUCUUUGCGGAGAUUGAGAACUGUUCUUCCCGGAUGGUGGUGCCAAAGGCUGCCAUUUAUCAAACGCAGGCAUUCUAUGCCAAAGGGAAAAUGAAGGAAGUAAAACAGCUGGUUGCCAACUUGCGUGGAGAAUCACUAUCAUCUGGGAAAACAGAAACCUGGAAUGGCAAACAGUUAAAAAUUCCACCCGUCUCCCCCUCUAUUCUUGAUUGUAGCAUAAUCCGUGUGGAAUAUUCACUAAUGGUAUAUGUGGAUAUUCCAGGUGCAAUGGACUUGUUUCUUAAUCUACCACUUGUUAUUGGUACUAUUCCUUUACAUCCAUUUGGCAGCAGAACAUCAAGUGUGAGCAGUCAAUGCAGCAUGAAUAUGAAUUGGUUUGGUCUGACACUGCCUGAAAGACCAGAAGAACAUUGUUCGAACUGCGUGUACUUUUGCCUUCAGCACCUCCAAGCUAUGCAGAAGUGGUCACUGAGGAGCAAAGACAGUCCAGCCUAGCACCUGCAGCUACUUGUGAUGACUUUGAAAGAGCACUUCAAGGACCAUUAUUCGCCUACAUCCAGGAAUUCCGAUUCCUGCCUCCACCACUUUAUUCUGAGAUUGAUCCAAACCCAGAUCAGCCCUCAGAUGACACACCAUCCUGUCCCUCUCGCUGAAGGAAUGUUUUCUAAAGGUUGAUGGGUCAGGAUUGCAUUUUCGCCAUGUUGAGGAUAAAGGCAUCCCAUGGAGACACACUUUACAAGGAAGUUGUUGCCUAAAAGGAAAGGUGAAAUAAUGAAACAACCUGUGAUUAUGCUUUUGAAGCCUACAGCAAACAUCAUAGGACUGCUCUUCAUGCUUGAAGAUCUGAGUUUGCCCUCCCUGUUGUAUACUGGCACAUACUAAGAGCAGCCUUAAUAUCCUACACUCGUGUGUCAAAACACUCACCGUGUUGCAAGAGGGAUAAGUUCCUCUUUUGAUUUGAAAAUUUGCACAUGCUCAAUGCUUUCGUUGUGCGGUUCAGUGUCACUACAGCUUUUUCUCAUUUAUGUUGGACUAUUGUUAAUCCCUUCUAACUUGUUUGUGGUCCGCACAACAAGGAGCGAAAGAAAGUUUUUAAAACUUUAUGACAAAUGCACUGAUUUUUUUUUAUUUAGAACAACAAACAAUAUAGUCUGGACUUUCCUGCAUAUGCUCAGAAUUGUCCCAGUAAGACUGAUCCAUGUAUCACCUCUUCAGCUUGGAUCCUGUUGUGGAUUUAUUACAAACAUCAAAUGCCUUCAAGCCAAUCCUUGCUGUACGUUUUGCAGCCUACUGUAGUAGACAAGCAACAGAUAUGUGAGGCAAAAAAUGACAGAAGGAAAUCAAUAGGAGUCUUUGUCAAGAUUAUAUACAUUCUUGAUUCCUUCUUAAGAAUUUGUUGCCUUUCUACUAUUACCACAAAGAAGAAUUUUGUUACAGACUGCCUAAAAUCACUUAAUCUCAGGUGAACUCAUCACUUGCCAAAAUGUUGAAAUGCUAUUUGUGUUUAUGUUGCACUGUUGAGUUUUUUUUCUCUUCCUGUUUUUGUUACUUCAUUUGUUUUAUUUGGAAAGGGCGACUUGGAAAAGGGACAUACACAAAUUAACACAUCCUGUUAUCCUUCCAAAAUAUGAGAUGCAACUAAGAAAAGUAGACAAGUUAACAGACUUUUUAGAAGAGCCACAGGAGGCUGCACCCAACCUGUUAUAUCAGCCAAGAGUUACUGAAGAAAAGUUGUGUGUGGUUCAUACAGUGACUCAUGUGGGGAUUUCUCUGCAAUUGGGGUGGGUAGGGAAAGUGAAUUUAUUUUUUUACAUGGAUAUCCUAUAACCACUUGCUUGAAUAAACUUAUUUGUAGUGAUCUUUUAGUCAGGGAUAGAGGGAGUUUUCUCUCAAAUAGAUGUUAUCUUAGAGGAUAAAAAAAUGAUAUGUUUCCAGACAAAAGAGAUUCCCAAUGAACAUCACUCAGACUGCAUUCUCUGCAAGACAGAAGAAUUAACACUGAACAGAGUUAAUAGCCAUAAGUAAUUGGCAGGGAAUUGCUUUGGUUACAAAAUUCAGAGUGGGGCUCAGCCCACAUUACAAGGACUCAGUUUGUGGAUGUUUGGUGUUGGGGCUCUCAACUCAGAUGCUAGCAUCUCACCAUUAAAGAUAUUAACUGACGCACAACUGUCCUCUUCCGAAAGAAACUCAUGACUGAUUCCUACCAAAAUCAGCCAUCCUGAUAUUCCAUGUGACACCAGUAUGGCUCUUUGGGUUAGUUAGUUCACGUGUGAUAACCAGGCUACUGUAAAGGUUGCUUUCUCUGUGGUGAAACCCUGCUUUUUCAAAUCUUCCUUGCUGUUGAGGCUUCAAAACAAACAGGAUAGGCUUUUCCAUAAGUGGCCUUUAUGAAAACAUGGACAGAAAUUCAUGUUUGAACAAUAACAGGGUGAAAAAUAAACAGUAUAAAAUGAGUCACGUUUUAAGUGAUUCACUUAAAAGAGUUUGGCCUUCAGCAAGCUAACUUCAUAUACUGGAUAAUAAGAUAACUGAAUGAUAGAACUUUUUUACAUCUUACUAUUUUGUGAAUGUCCCUCUUCUGCAGAAGAUUUUAAAAACUGUUUUAGUGGGAAAGUGGCAUAAAAGGGCAUUUGGUAGUGUCAUUCUUUUGGAGGAUGUUCUGUUUUUUGUUGCAACCAACUAGGGAACAAUUGCUGUUAUGCAUAGCAUUACAUUUAUCACCACACAAUGGAUGUUUCCAUAUGAAGCAGGAUUGACCAAUAUUGUAGCAAUUGGCAUUGAUUGCAUCACAUACAUUUUGUGAUCAGACUGAAAGUUGUAAACACUAUGAAAAAAAUGGCUCUUACAAAAAAGUUACUCUUCUGUGGCAUUACUGUUAACUGAUUUCCUAAAAUAUUGGUCAAUUUCUGGACAUUGUAAAAUAUGAGGUUCAGAACUAUAGUCCAGUAUUGAAAAUCUAAUUUUAAGCAAAAGGGGGAGGGAGAGGGGCCGCAAGUAAAUAAAAUCCAAAAUGUUAGAAAAACAAAGUGCAAUAUUUAAUGUUUGCUUUAUAGAUUAUAUUCAUUGGCUGUUUGUAUUAUAUUUUCCUUUUUAUUUCCUUUUUCUUUUUUUUAGUUUGGUGCUGAAUAUGUCCUUGUAGACUGUUUCAAGAAAACAGUAUGUGGAAAACAAUUUAAUUUUUCCUAUUGCUCUUCCUUGUGGAUAAUAAACUCUUUCUUUUCUUUUUUACAAAA
Sceloporus undulatus (fence lizard) is the source of this 4230-nucleotide RNA transcript. It is a transcript of the gene named arrestin domain containing 3, with no coding region annotated. The record is from RefSeq and is a predicted model, not a curated record. Lineage: Eukaryota; Metazoa; Chordata; Lepidosauria; Squamata; Phrynosomatidae. The transcript has 8 exons.